ACACAUGCGAGUUUUUGCUGGCUUGAGAACAAGCAAGGAAAAAGACAAAUCCCACCUACCCUAGCCUAAAAUACACAGUGAGUCUCAGAACCCCGCGGAAGCUGUGGCUCAUUUCUAAAGGUGCUGGCAAUAUCGAGGAAGACUUGUAUCCACAAAAUUCCAAAUGGAAAAGAGAGAAAAGAGAACAACAAACAGAUGUGUGAAAAAAAGACACGAAGUACAAAACGGAUGUAUUAAUGGCAAAUAGAGUAAACUUGAAGCCUGAAAUUGCAGCACUCAUUUGGUGACCAGGAGUGGGCAAACAGAAGGACAAAGGCCUACAAGGUAAGGUAAAUGGAGCAGAUGGAAAGAACUGCAGUUCUUGCCAGUAUUAUUGAGUCACUACAGCAACAGUAAAUUGUCCCUCUAAACUUUGUGUCAUGUGAGAAAAAUAAAACGAUAAUUAAUACAAAAAGUAGAUUCUACAUUAUGAACCCAGAAACCAAAAAGCUCUGCUCUGGAUCUGACUCUGUUACUUACUACCUGAGUGACAUUGAUCAUGUCAUAGAGUUCUAUUCCCUCCUCUGUUACUCAAGAGAACACUUGACUUCUUUAGCCUAGAGUUAUCCUAUGAAAUAAUGCAUGUUAUAUAUCUUCAUACAUGGUAAGAGAGUACAUCAAUGGAAGAUGUUGCUUAUUUAACAUGCCAGGUGGUUGAUACAUAGGACACGCAGUGACUCCACAGUUAAAUAUAACAGUGCCCAGGAGUCUGCUUUCCGUUCAAAGAAGAAUUUGCAGACACUUACUUUGACUGGCUUAAUUUCAGACUUCUUGGGAAUUCUGUUCUGAAGUUAGGAACUUCCAAGGUAGAGGACGUUUGUGUUUGUGUAUUCCAAAAUGUAUUUGCCCAUGUUGGGUCAGUCAGAUUGAGUUGGCAUGUUCUUGGUGAGGUAUACAGUGGAAGUGGGCCAGUUUCCUGCUUCACCUAGGCUAGGCUUUCCUUUUUCCUAGAAAAAUGAAAGGCUCAGGAAAGCAGCCAUGCUAACUACUAUACCACCAUCACCACCAGGAAGGCUCAGGACACUCAUUCCCAACUCUGGAGGAUGCUGUGGGGUUCAUGAGCAGGAAGAGAUCUCCUGAUAAAGAGGUUAAAGACCUAUCAUAUCUCCAAAGAAAGAGGUUAAAUGAUUUUCUGUGAGCUUCGUAAAUGUGGAAGUCAGGAUUUAAUGUAUUGACAUUGAUUUGCUUAACUCUGUGGGGAAGGAUGUAGUCAUCUUGGCAUUCUAUUUUGCCGUGGCUUAGAGGAUGAUUCUUUCAAUGAAAUAGACUCCACCUCCUCCUAGAAGUAUGUACACCACUGUACAUGCAAUCCACCUUUGCCUGCUGGAAGAACAUAUCCUCAGUCUUUUAAGAUUCAGCUCAGUGUCUCUUCUUUCCUGAAAUCUUUACUGACCUCACCAUCAUGUAUUCUGAAGUAUAUACAGCAUAUUGUUGUACAUUCACCCCGUCUCCUCUUUGCAUUUGGCCAUUAGACUGUGAGUGCCAAAGGACAGGGGCUCUGUAUUAUUUGCUUUUGUAUCAUCAGCAUCCAUUAUAGUGUCUGUCCUAUAGAAAACAAACCUUAACAUAAGACUGUUGAAGAACUAAAUUCAUUGCUAAGUGAUUGAAAAAUGUGAUUGAAAAAUGGGUAACUGGUUGUAUCUCUCAACUAGUGACCAUUAGCCUGGCAGCUUUCCCUGUUGCAUAAGGCUUAAGAAUCUCAAGUACCCCACUGCCCUGUGGGUAAAAACUGUCAACUAAAAGGAGACAGAAAACAGAGUGUGACAAAAUAUUAAUAUCAUUCCAAUUUAACUGAGCAGAUUAUCUAAGGUUUCCAGUUAUCCAAGGCAGAGGACCAUUAUAUUAGGACAGAUCAUUUACAGUGGAUAUCAGACUCAGAUUUUUAGUAUGAAAGAGAGGGGCAAGUAUUGUACUCUUUUAAAAGAUUACAAAUAUUCAAUCCUUGGCAAUUUAAUAUUUGUCUUCCUUUGUCUAAGAAUACGAGGGGAAUCUUUGAUGAAAGACUUGUUGAGGCAUAUGGCAAGUUUUGAAAGAAUUUGAAGGUGAAUAAGUAAUGAAAUAUCUAUUCCCUCUUUUAACAUUAAAAACAAUUGUAUUUAACCAAUAAGGAAAAAAAUUCAGGUAAAAAAAUUCCAUGCAUAUUUUUCUUUUUUAAUUUAAUUUCUACUAAUAUUAUGACUCAGAGGCUGAAUCCAGGAUAAAGGUAAUCUAUCAUCAGGGCUCUCUUUCAGGGCAGAAAGAGAACAUAUAAAGACUAGAAAUGAAAAAAAGAGAUUAAACAAGGCUUCCACUUCAUCUCUGGAUUCUAUCACUUAGCAUAGUGUUUUCAAAGUUCAUUCAUUUGUAUCAUGCAUCAGUACUUCAUUCCUCUUUGUGGCUGAAUAUAAAAUCUCGUUGUACAGAUGUACCUUGUAUUGUUUGUCCAUUCAUCUGUUAAUGAAUAUCUGAGUAGCUUCUGCCUAUUGACUGCUAUGACUAGUGCUGUUAAAAACAUCCAUGUACAAGUUUUUGUGUGGACAUAUAUUUUUAUUUCUUUGGGUAUAUACCUAGGAGUGGAAAUGUUGAGUUAUAUGGAAACUCUAUGUUUAAUCAUUUGAGAAACUGUCAGAUUAUUUUCCAAAGCAGCUGCACCAUUUUAUACUCACAUCAGCAGUGUAGGAGGGUUCAAUUUCUCCACAUACUCACCAACACUUUGUUAUCUUUUUGAUACUUGCUAUCCUAGUGCCUUUGAAGUGGCAUCUGAUUGUGGUUUUGAUUUGCAUUUCUUUAAUGACUAAUAAUGUUAAGUAGCUUUUUUUUAUGGCUCAUUGGCCAUGUGUACGUCUUUCUUAGUGAAGUGGCUAUUAAGAUCCUUAGCUGAUUUUUAAUCAGGUUAUUUGUCUUUUAUGAUUGAGUCAUGUCUUUAUAUAGUCUUGAUACAAGACCCUUAUCAGAUAUGUGAUUUACAAAUACUUUUUUCCACUCUGUGGAUUAUUUUUUCACUUUCCUGAUGCUGGUCUUUGAAGAACAAAAGUUUUUAUUUUUAUUUUUCUUGUAGCCAUUGCAAUUUUGGUGAAAUCCAAUUUAUCUAUUAUUUAUUUCUUUUGCUCAUGCUUAUCCAAUAAUUAUAAUCCAACAGAUUAUUAUCCAAUAAUCUGUUGCCAAAGCUAAGGAAGGUCAUGAAUAUUUACUCCUAUGUUUUCUUCUAAGAGUUUUGUGAUUUUAGCUCUUACAAUUAGGUCUCUAAUCCAUUUGGGGUUAGUUUUUGUGUAUGAUAUGAGAUAGGAAUCCAACUUCAUUCUUCUGCACAUGAAUAUCUAGUUGUCCCAAUGCCAUUAGUUGAAGACUAUUCGUUUCUGCAUUUAAUAAACUUGCUAUCCUUGUUGAAAAUCAAUUGAACACAGAUGUAUGGGCUUAUUUCUAGAUGUUGAAUUUAUUUCUGGAUGUUUAUUUCUGGAAUGGAAUUCUGAAUGGACGUCUAUUCCUUUGAUCUGCAGGUCUAUCCUUAUGCCAGUAUCAUUUGUUUUGAUUACCGUGGCUUUGUAGUAAAUUUUGAAAUCAGGAACUAUGAGUCCUUCAACUUGGUUCUGUUUCAAUAUUUGUUGGCUAUCUGGGGUUAUUUGAAAUUUAAUAUGAGUUUUAGAACCAGGUUGUCAACUUCUAAAUAGUAUCAGCGAGGAUUUUGAUAGAAAUUAUGUUGAAUCUGUAGAUGAUUUUAGGGAAUAAUCUUAACAAUGUUAAGUCUUCUGAUCUAUGAACAUGGGGUCUUUUCCCAUUAUUUAGAUCUUCUUUAAUUUCUUAAUAUAUUGUAUUUUUUAGAAUAUAAGUUUCGUACUUCUUUUAUUAAAUUUAUUCCCAGGUAUUUUAUUCUUUUUGAUGUAGUUAUGAAUGGAAUUAUUUUCUUUGUUUCAUGUUUAGAUUGUUCACUGCAAGUGUAAAGAAAUAAAAACUGAUUUUUGUGUAUUGGUUUUGUAUUCUGCAACUUUAAUAAAUUCAUUUAUUAGUACUAACAGUUUUAGGUGGAUUUCUUAGAAUUUUCUAUACAUAAAAUCAUGCCAUCUGCAAAUAGUCCUAACGCUACUUCUUCCUAUCCAAUCUUGAUCUCUUUUAUUUCUUUUUUUGUGCUAAUCGGCCUAUGUAGUGCAAUUUUGAAUACAAGUGGUGAAACAGACAUCCUUAUUUUGUUCCUGAACUUAGGGAGAAAGCAUCCAGUUUUUCACCAGUAAGUAUAAAAUUAGCUGUGAGGUUUUCUUAUAUGUCAUUAUUAUUUUGAGGACAUUUCCUUUUAUUCCUGGUUUGUUUAGAUUUUUUGUCUUCUUUUUUAAAUCAUAAAAAUGUGUUGAAUUUUGUCAAAUGCUGUUUUAGCAUCUAUUGGGAUGAACAUGUGGGGUUUUUUUUGAUAUGGUAGAAUAUAUUAAUUGAUUUUAAGAUGUUAAACCAAACUUGCAUUUCUGGGAUAUAUCCCACUUGGUCAUGUUGUAUAAUUAUCUUUAUAUAUUUCUGGGUUCAGUUUGCCAAUGUCUUAUUGAGGGUUUUUCUGUCCAUAUUCAUAAACAUAUUGGUCUAUAGUUUUCUUGUGAUUUUGUUGUCCGUUUUGUAUCAAGGUAAAACAGGCUUCAUGAAAUACAUUGGGAAGUCUUCUCUCUCAGUAUAUUUAUUGUAAUAGUUUGUAAAUAAUUUCUAUUGAUUCUUUUUUAAAUGAUUGAUAAAUUCAUCUGUGAAGCAAUAUGGACCUUGGCUCUUUCUUAAUGGGUAGGUUUUGAAUACUAAAUUAAUAUUUUAAUUUGUUAUAGGUUUAUUCACGUUGUUUAUUUCUUCUUGAGUCAGUUUAGGUUCUUUGUAUCUUUCUAGGAAUCUGUCCAUUUCAUAUAAAUUAACUAAUUUGUUUGCAUAUAAUUGUUUACAGUAUUUGUUUUAAUUCUUUUUAUUUCUGUAAGGUCUGUAAUAAUGUCCCCUCUUUCAUUUCUCAGUCUUGCAAUUUGAGUCCUCUCUUUUUGUCUUAGUCAGUCUAGCUAAGCAUUUAUCAAUGUACGCUUUAGUCAUGAUAUCUCCUCCAUUAUAAUUAUAAAAUGCCUUUCUUUAUCUCUAGUAACAUUUUCUGGUUUAGUCUAUUUGGUCUAAGUUUUUAAAACCACUCCAGCUUUCCUACAGUUGUUGUUUGCAAGAUAUGUCAUUUCCAUCAUUUUACUUGUAGCCUAUUUGUGUCUUUGAAUCUAAAGUAUAUCUUCUUUUUUAAAUUAUUAUACUUUAAGUAUAUCUUCUUUUCUAAACUUACACAUGGAUAAUGUUUUCUUUAUUAAAAAAACUCCAAUCUGACACUCUGUGCCUUCUGAUUGAAUUAAUUCACAGACGUUUAAUGUUUUUAUUUAUAUAUUUGAAUUUACAUCUUACAUUUUACUUUUGUUUUCUAUAUGUCUGUUGUCUUUUUUGAGUCUCAAUUCCUCUCUAUGGAUUUCUUUUGCUUUAAGUGAACAUUUUCUAAUGUUGCAUAUUAAUUUCUUUAAUAAUUUUUUCACUAUAUUUUUGACUUAAUUUGUAGUGGUUACUCUAGAAUAUACUAUAUACAUCUUAACUGAUCAAAAUUAGCCUUAGAUUUAAACUAGCCUAAUUCCAGUGAUAUAUAGCUUUAUUUCAUUUUCCUCUUUUUUGUGGUGGUGUUCUAUGUAUUACAUCUAUUAACAUUAUAAACCUCAAAAUACAUUUCUAUAAUUAUUAUUCUACCAUAUGUAGUCAUUUUCUUAGCCCAUUACAGCUUUACUCUCCCUACCGCCUUUGUGCUAUUAUCAGCAAAUAUAUUACGCAUAUAUUACAAAUAGCACAUUAUAUAUAAAAAAUAUAUGAAAGUUUUUACAAUUUCUCUUUAAAUCCAUCAGGAGAAGAAAGGAAAAAUAUUCAUUUAUAGUGUCUUUUAUACUUGCAUAAUGACUUUUGCUGAUUCUCUUUGUUUGUUUGUGUGACUCCACAUGGCAAUCUGGUGUCAAUUGCUUUUAGGCUGAAGAAUUUCUUACAGUAUUACUUACCAGGUGAGUUUGCUAGAAACACAUUUCCUCACCUUCUGUUUAUCUGUUAAAGUCUUUAUUUUGCCUUAUUUUUAAAAAGUAGCACACUGUUUUUCUCUUAUGACUUUGAAGAGUUACCAUCAUCUUUCACUUUUAGCAUUUUUACAUCAUGUGUCUGUGAGUCUGUUUGUGUUUACCCUACUUGAAGUUCGUUGUAAUUAUUGUCAAUAAAUGUAAGAAGUUUCAGCCACUAUAUCUUUAAAUAUGUUUUUUUUCCUUUCUCUCUUUUAUUCUGAUAAUCCCAUUAUAUGUAUAUUGAUGCACUUAAUGGUAUUCCAUAUUUCUCUGAGUAUCUAUUCAUUUUUCCUCAUUCUUUUUUCUGUCUGUUCUUCAGCUUGCCUAACUUCUAUCAGUCUAUUUUUAAGUUCACUAAUUCUUUCUUCCUCCAGUUCAAAUCUAAGAUUAAUUCUAAUAAAUGUUUUAUUUCAGUUAUUAUAGUUUUCUGCUCCAGAAUUUUCAUUUGGCUCUUUUUAAUGAUUUGUUUAGUAUUUCUUUUGACCUCAGGAGCAUUCCUUCAAGUUGUCAGAUUGCCCGGUUUUCUCCUGCAAACUAGUUGGCCUACAAACUAGGCUGUAUCUUUAUCAGAUCCUAAAACUCUUCCUAAUAUUUUUUCACUGUAACCUUCCCUGUUCUUGAGAUUGUCCUUUGGCUUCAGCUUCUUCAUGUUUCGUUGAAAAUAAAGUCAGAUCCUUUGGGAAGAAUUUAGAGUCAUCAUUUUGUGUCCUGUUUCUCCUACCAGGCAAAAUCUCUGGGUUAAGGCCCUAGAGCUAAGAGUUGGGACAUUGACAAGAUUCUCUUUGAGUGACAUUCUUGUUUCAGCAACUGAGAACUUGAUGCAGGGAGGGAGAUCUGCGCAGCCUGAGGUCACUUAGUUUAGCUCUCCAGUUGUAGAACAAUUAUCACUUCAAGUUCUGGGGCAGGGGCUAUAAGGAUCUCAGUAUUCUCAACAGGUGGACUGUAUAUUCCAUGAGUGGGGAUUGAGCAGAGAAAGGGAACUGCUAUUCUUGACCGUAUUUACCCAGGUCUUAGCCUCAGCAAUAGGCACUUGGAGGUAGGAUGAGAAACACUGAAGUACCGCUCCUCCUAAGAAUAAAUCCCUCUAGGUGGAGAGUGGGAAUGGUAGAAUCCCUGUAUUCUUGGCUCCAGAAGUCUGGAAUGGGGAGGCUCUACCCUGCUGAGCUGGGUAGGGGGAGAGAUGGGACUUUCUGUGUUCAAGUAUCACGGACUCGCCUUUCUUACUGAAUUUUUAGAAAUUUCUUUGAAUUGAUGUUUCUUCAUUUGCUGUCUGCCUUUAGCACAAUUUUCAAGAGGACUUUAAAAACAUAUUUUUUAUCAGUUUCAUUGGAGUCAGUGGAGCUCCAGAUAUUGUCAUGCCAGAAGUUGGUCUUUAGCCUGAAUUUCUUUUAUAACCCAUAGCAGGUUUUACAUAUGGUGUGAUCUCAAGGCAUAAAAAAUGUAUUAGAUCUUAAUGCUUAGGAUAUUCCUUGGUAUGCUUUAGCUAAUCAAUUAAAUUUUGCUGAGUUAUAUUUAAAUAAAGCAUAAACAUGUCCUUAUUUUUACGUUUUGAAGUCUUCAGAGUGGUUGCAUUUUUGCUGUUUAAUUUUUUCACCAAAUCUUAUUUUCAUUUACAAAUUAGAAUACAGAGUCAGAGAAGUAAAAUGAUUUACCUAUGAAUAUAUGGUAAGCCAGUGAAUUUUUCAAAAGACAGCAUACUCAUUUUUUCCCAUAGCUGUUAACUUUUCCUUUUUCCCCAUUUAUCUUUAAGAUAAGUCAUGAGUUAGAGAAAUCUGUUUCAUAAACAGCAGAAAUAUUAGUACUUGCUGUAAGUAUCAAGGCCUGAAAUUUGAUCUUCCCCAGUCCAAAAAUUAUAAGGAAGAGAUGUUUUAUAAGGCUGUCAACACAUCUGGUGCACAGGUGAAAGCUGUAGAUCCCUAAAACUGGAAGCAAGAAGCUUUUCAUUAAAGAGUUUGCUAAGCUAAGCAUAUCUUUUCUCUGUUCACUAACGUAUUUCUACAAAUUUUACUUGUCUAUAUUGUUCCAAAAAAGCUUGGAUAAUCUAACUAAAGGAAGUUACAACCAGGAAUCCCGCUCAAUCCAGAGAAAAUGAUGAAAGUAUUAGCUGACAAGGCCAAUCUAAGUAAGGAUUUAUUUUGGCCAAAACUUACCAUUUGUCUACUUUACAAGUGAAGUGAAAGGAUGAAUCAAACUGGAGGCCACUAUUUUCAGCAAAACAAUCAAUGCAGAAACAAGAAUUCAAAUGCCGCGUAUUCUCACUUAUAAGUGAGAGCUUAAAAUGUGUACACAUGAACAUAGAAUGGGGAAUGAUAGACAUUGGAGAUUUGGGAGGGCGGGAGGGUGGGAAGGGGUGGGAGAUGAGAAAUUACUUGAUGGGUACAAUGUGCAUUAUUCGGGUGAUUAAUGCACUAAAAGCCCAGGCUUCACUACUAUGUGAUUUAUUCAUGUAAGAAAACUGCACAUGUACUCCUUAAAUUUGUACAAAUUAAAAAAAAAAAAAAAAAGGAAAAAGGAAGCAAACAAACAAAAAACAAAACAACUAAAAAAGGCACACGUGGUCAGACCCCAGAGCUGUUUUCGGGAUCACCUGGGGAAAUAAUGCGGCAAUUAUCACAUCAGCCUCCACUUUUACAAUGGACAACUAAUUUUAAGAAUUAUCCUAUUUCCAGGAUAUAGUACACAUCUCUGCCAGUUUAAGCUUCCAUAGACAUGCUUUUAUCAAGCACCUUCAGCGUCCAGAUUAUAGGGUUACAUUGUCUUCUCAAUUUUUGCUGUAAUUCUUAUUUUUGGAAAUUUCCACGUUGUUGUUGGUAGUAUUCCAUUACAUGGGAUAUGCCAUAGUUUGUUUAACCAUUCACCUGUUGAAGAACAUCUGAGUUGUUUUCACUGUCUAGCUAUCACACAUAAAACUACUGUGGACAUCUGUGUAAGGUUUUUAUGUAAACAUAAACUUUUCAUUUCUCUAGGAUAAAUGUCCAGGAUUAUAGCUGCUGGGUCAUAUGGUGGCAGCAUGUUUAAUAUUUUAAGAAACUUCCUGUCUUCUAGAGUGCCUAUAUAAUUUUACAUUCCAAGCAGCAACAUAUGAUUGAUCCAGUUUUCCUAUAACCUUGUAAUCAUUUGGUUACAAGCUAUUCUGGUUAGUAUAUCUCUCAUUGUGGUUUUAAUGUGCAUUCCUCCAGUGGCUAAUACUUGAUCAACUUUUUAUGUGCUUAUUUGCCAUAUGCUCUUUGAUCAAAUGUCAAUUUUUUCGCCCAUAUUUUAAUUAGAUUUUUCAAACUGUUGAUUUUGAGUUUUCAGAUAUUAGUCCUUUGAAAGGUAUAUUACUUGUAAAUAUUUUCUCCUGUCUAUAGAUUACCUUUUUAUUUAUUUAAGAGACUUUCACAGAGGAUUAGUUUUAAAUUUUUAUAAAAAUUCACCAAUUUUAUCAUUUAUGGAUUAUUUUUGGUGCUUAAUUAAGAAAAACCUUUGCCUCGCUCUAAACCCUGAAGAUUGUUCGUAUUUUUUUCUAAAACUUUUAUAUUGUUAUGUUUUACAUUUAAGUUUAUGGUCUAUUUUGAGUUAAUUUUUGCAGAAGUUGUGAGACUUAAGGUGAAUUAGCUUCAAAAUAUUAAUUGGAAGCGUUCAUCUUCUUCUAUUUUAUGGCAGACAUUGUAUAGAAUCGGUGUGAAUUUUUCUUUAAACAUUUUGUUGAAUUUUCCAGUGAAACCAUCUGUGCCUGGAGAUGGUUUGGGGGAGGAAUUUUAAAACUACAUAUUCAACUUUAUUAGUAGUUAGAGAGUUAUUCAAGUGAUCUGUUUUGUAUCAGAUAAAUUGUGGUAAUUUGUGUUUUUCAAGGAAUUGAUUCUCUUUCUUGGUGGUAUUUUUAAGUCCUAUCUCUUUGCUGAUAAUAUAUCCAGUUAUUCCAUCAGUUUUUGAGACGAGUGUUGAAGUCUCUAACUGUAGUUCUUGAUUUGUCUAUUUCUUGUUUCAAUUCUAAGAUACACAUUUAGGAUUGCAAUAUUUUCUUGGUUGAUUGACCCUUGUCAUUCUCUGUCUCUGCUGCUUUGCUUUGCUUUGAAGCCUACUGCAUCUGCAAUAAUUAUAGCCACACUUGCUUUUUUUGAGUAAUGCUUGCAUGAUGUGUAUUUUCCCCUCAUUUCUUUUAACUUUCCUAUAUUGUUGCAUUUGAAGUGAGUUUCUUGUAGACAGGAUCAUGUCUUUUAAUCACCUCUGCCAAUCUCUGGCUUUUAAUUGAUGUAUUUAGAACAUUUACGCCAUUAAUGCAAGUAUUAAUAUGCUAGAGUUGAGUUUCUCUUUUUUUGUUGUUUUCCAUUUGUUUUCUUUGUUUUUCAUUUACUGUUUUUUCUGCUUUCCUUUACAUUUAUGAAACUUUCUAAAAAUUCAAUUUUUAUUUAUCUUUAAUGUUUUGAAUAUAUCUCUUUGUAUUGUUGUCUUCAUGAUUAUUUUAGGUGUUACUAUAUAUUAUGUAUAGAUAACUUAUAACAGUCUACCAGUGUCAUCAUUUUGUUUGUUUGAGUGAAAUUUGGAAGCUCUACCUUUCUUUAUAUCUUUUUACACUCCCACAUUUAUAUUACAAUUAUCUUAAGUAUUUUUUUCUACAUAGAUUUAAAAUAAUACCAGGUAGUUUUAUAAUUUUUACUUCAAUUAUAAAACAUAAUUUAGAAAACAGAAGAGGAGAAUAAAAUUGUAUUGAAUUUACUUGUAGUUUUGUUUACCAUGUUCUUCCCUCUUUCCUGAUAUUUGAACAUUCCUUUUUUUUAAAAAAAAAAACAAAACUAUUUCCUUUCUGUUUAAAGAACAUCAUUUAGCUGUUCUUUUAGGAGACGUCUACCAGCAAGCAUUGCCUCUGUUUUUUUUUGUUUGUUUGUUUGUUUUAGUCUACACAUAUAUUAAUUUCCUGUUCAUUUCUGAAAGAUAUUUUCACUAGGUAUAGAAUCCUGGCUUAAGAGAUUAUUUUCUAUAUCACUUUAAAAAUUAUCUGCCACUUCUUUCUGUCUUCCAUAGUUUCUGGUGAGAAAUCCACUGUCAUUCAAGUUGUUUUUUCCUUAGAAAGAAAAGUAUUAUUUCUUUCUCACAACUGUUGAGAUUUUUUUCUUUUCCUUUAGUUUUCAGAAGUUUCACUAUGUAGCUUUUUUUGUGUAUGUGUGAGAGAUUAUCCUGUUUGGGAUUCAUUCAGCUUCUUGAACUGUAGAUUUACAUCUUUUGUCAAAUUUGGGCAGUUUUCAGCCAUUAUUUCUUCUAUUUCUAAUUUCUCAGCAUCAUCCUUUUUCUCCUCUCCUUCUGAGUCGUCAAUGACCCAAAGUCAGAUUAUAGUUCCACAUAUCCAUAAGGGUAUACUGUUUUCCAGCCUGUUUUCUCUUUGUUGUGUAAAUUUGGUAAUUUUUAUAUUUUUCUUCUAAUUACCUUCUAAUUUACUAAUUUUCCCUUUGCCUCCUCCAUUCUGCUGUUAAGCUCAUCCAUUAAGCUUCUUACAUUAUAAUAUUUUUCAACUCUAAACUUUUCAUUUUUCUUCUUUAUAUCUUUUAUAUUUUUGCUGAGACUUUGCAUGGUUUCAUUUGUUUCAAGCAUGUUUGUAAUUGCUCAUUGAAAUGUUUUCAUAAUGGUUGCAUUAGAUAUUUGGUCGAUUAUCCUAAUAUAUUUGUCUUCUCAUAGCUUGCAUCUUGGAUUGUCUUUUCUUCACUUAUUCAGAGAUCUUCCUAGUUCUUGAUAUGAUAAGUAAUUUUUGACAGAAAUAUGUACAGUUUGAGCUUUAUAUUAUAACACUGAAUCUCACAUAAAUCUCUGUAUUAACUUGAUUCCUCUGACACGAUGCUGGUGGGGAUGGGGAAUUGCUGGCUAAUUAUUACCAAGUGGGAGUUAAUGACAAGGUUCUCUACUAGACCUCCAUUGACACCAGAGGAAUGGGUCUUCAUUAUCGCUGAUUGUAGGUAAGAGAGUUGGCUCUCCACUAGGCCUCCACUGAUACUCCCUAGUGGGAGAAGUUAUAGUGACUCAUUGUACUAAAUGCUUCCCCUAUGGUAUCCAUGACACCAAGAGGGAGAAGUAACACCAUUACCAUUGGACAAUGGUGAAAGUUCUGCCUCUCUCUAUGCCUCCACAAUCACCCUAGUGAGGAGAAGUAGGGAUGGCUCAUACUACUUGAUGGGUGUGGAAAUCCAGGCUCUCCAAGUGGUCUCUCUCCAUUGACCCUCACUGGGGCAUGAGAUGGUUGUAGGUGGUGACUAUGAAGGUCCCAACUCCUUACUCAGUCUUCUCUGGCAGCACCUUGGCAGAUGUUAUGGGACCCUCAUGACAGACUGGGGACGAUGGAAGUCUAAGUGUUCUACUUGGCCUUUGUUGGCAUUUGUUGAGGUGCUAGUCAGCUGAAGUAAGAAGUUAUUGUCUAAAAUUUCUCUGUCUUUCCAUUCAACUCCUUUAUUUGUCCUUUGGCCAAAGACAGCAGACUUGUGUUUGGGCUUUUUCUUUUUUUUUCUUCUUAUCUCUGGCUUUAAGUCUGGGAUAUAUGAUAUAAAGAGGAUGAAAGGGAACUCAUUAUCAUGUCAUUUAUGGGUUUUAAGACCCCCUUACUAGCCCGCUUUCUUCUCUCUACUUCUCAGAGUUUUAUGUUCAUUUUUGUAUAGUGUCUUGGGUUUUUAGUUGUACUUAGUGUGAGAAAUAGGGAAACGUAUGUCUAUUCCAUCUUUUUGGAAGGAGAAGUUUCAACCAACUAUGUCUUCAGAAGUACUUACUCAUUUUUCUACCACAAAGUACACGUAAAACUAGUUGUGUUUGCCCUAUGGCUGGGGGAAUCAAAUGCCUCAUCCCUUUAGUUAGCAUUAGAUUUGAUAAGUAUUCCCAGGAAGAAGACAAAUGAGAAAAUAUAAACAAAACAAACAAACAAACAAAAUGGAUUGCAACUUUAAAGGAUGAUAUAUAAAUUUGAGCAUAAUAGGAGCUAUUCAGAAGUUUAAGUUAAAAAUUAUUGGCCAGGCACGGUGGCUCACACCUGUAAUCCCAGAACUUUGGGAGGCCUAGGUGGGUGGAACAUGAGGUCAGGAGUUCGAGACCAGCCUGACCAACAUGGUGAAACUCUGUCUCUACUAAAAAAAUUAAAAAAACCAAAAAAAUAAAAAAUUAGCUGGGCGUGGUGGUGCACGCCUGUAAUCCCAGCUACUCAGGAGGCUGAGGCAGAAGAAUUGCUUGAACCUGGGAGGCAGAGGUUGCAGUUAGCCGAGAUUGUGCCAUCGCACUCCAGCCUGGGCAACAGAGCAAGACUCUGUCUCAAAAAAAAAAUAUUUACAAGCUUUUUAGCUUUUUAGCAUUAUGUUGUACUAUGUUUCGAUUUUCAAUCCAGGGAUUAAAAAAAAUUGAGAAGUCUGGCACUGUGGCAUGCACCUGUAGUCCCAGUUACUCAGGAGGCUGAGGUAGGAGGAUCACUUGAACCUAGGUACUGGAGACCAGACUUGGCAAUAUAGUGAGGCCUUGUCUCAAAAAAAUAAAUAAAAAUAAAUUAAAAAUAUGAGAAUUCCUGGACAUAGCUGUGGAUUUUGUGUCAAGUCAGAAAGAUUGUGAAAGCAUCAAUAUUAUAACCAACCCUAUCAUACUUAAAAUUUAAUAGACCUUGGGAUUUGGUAAUCAUUUCCACUGGAAUGAUUUUAGUCAUUACCUUAAAAUUUAUUAUUAACUAUUAUAUUUAUUAUUUUUAUUAAUUACCUUAAAAUUUUAUUAAUUACCUCAAACUAAUUAGAGUUUCAAUAAAAUGUUUUAAUCCUCACAUUUUUGGAUGCUAACAUUCAAGGCUGAAUUCCACAGAAAGUUAAGAAUUGUCAGUUUACUUCAAUUAACUCCUUAGAUAACAUUUUUUGUUAAAUGUGGCAAAAUCUAUGUCAUUAUUUAAAAAUACAGUUAAUCUACAAAUUACAGGUCCACAAGCUUUCUUAUGGCUUUCUUCUAAAAAUAUAGGCCUGUGCUUUCAAUUUUAAUAUCUGACUCGAAGAUCAACUAGGUGUCAGGUACAAAACUCAACAUCUAUUCUAGCUUCUUUUCUAUUUCUUUCUCUGCCCUUAUUUCAUUAAUUUUCAUGAUCACAACUACGAUGAAUAAGCUUUGAAGUUUUAAAUCUUUGUUUCUCUUUACAACACUCUUCCUUCUGUACUCUACAUUUCUCACUGUAUUUGACCUUUUCUCCAGGAACUACUGCAGUGACCUCAAGUAAAACAAAUCCUAAUCUAAACUUCCUAACUCUCUCCCAAUCAAACCAUUUCUCAUUGUCUCAUUGAUUCAUUCAUUAUAAAUGGUGGUGCCACUCUUUCAGUCUCUCAAACUGGAAAGUUCAGUGACAUUCAUUCCUUCUCUACCCACCAAGUAUUUAAGUCACCACAAAUUCCGUAAGCUCAUUACAAAUAUCUCUUGAAUCCAGUAGAAUUUUUUUUUCUCACAACACUGUUCCCAUGAUGUCCAUUGUCUCUUUCUUGGAAAGAGUUUCUGCUCUGAUUUUUCCAAUGUAUUCCAAAUGAAUCCGAUAUAGGCUUAUUUUCCCAUUCAUCUCAAUAUAUUUUCCUAUUCAUUCCAAAUGAAUCCUAUAUAAGUUCACUUUUCACUUGAGUUACAUUUCUAAUGUAUGAAUUCAUAAUGACAUCAUCAUCAACAAUAGUAAAUCUCCACAUUUAUUGUUCGGCUAAAAACAUUUCGAUCAAGGUUAAAUUUCCUCUGCGUUGAUAUUCCAUCCAGUUAUGUGUCUUUAUAGUAGAAUGAUUUAUAAUCCUUUGGGUAUAUACCAGUAAUUGGAUUGCUGGAGUCAAAUGGCAUUUCUGGUUCUAGAUCCUUGAGGAACCACCACACCAUCUUCCACAACGGCUGAACUAAUUUACACUUCCACCAACGGUGUAAAAGUGUUCCAAUUUCUCCACAUCCUCUCCAGCAUCUGUUGUUUCCUGACUUUUUAAUGACUGCCAUUCUGACUGGUGUGAGAUGCUAUCUCAUCAUGGUUUUGACUUAUAUUUGUGUAAUGACCAGUGAUGAUGAGCUUUUUUUCAUAUGUUUGUUGGCCACAAAAAUGUCUUCUUUUGAGAAUUGUCUGUUCAUAUUCUUUGCCCACUUUUUGAUGGGGUUGUUUGUUUUUUUCUUAUAAAUUUGUUUAAAUUCCUUGUAGAUUCUGGAUAUUAGUCCUUUGUCAGAUGGAUAGAUUGCAAACAUUUUCUCCCAUUCUGUAGGUUGCCUGUUCACUCUGAUGAUAGCAAAGAUUUGGAACCAACCUAAAUGCCCAACAAUGAUAGACUGGACAAAGAAAAUGUGGCACAUAAACACAAUGGAAUACUAUGCAGCCAUAAAAAAGGAUUAGUUCAUGCCCUUGGCAGGGACAUGGAUGAAGCUGGAAACCAUCGUUCUCAGCAAACUAACACAGGAACAGAAAACCAAACACAACAUGUUGUCACUCAUAAGUGGGAGUUGAACAAUGAGAACACAUGGAUACAGGGAGUGGAACAUCACACACUGGGGCCUGUUGGGGGGUAGGGGGUAAGGGAAGGGAUUUCAUUAGGAGAAAUACCUAAUGUAGAUGAGGGGUUGAUGGGUGCAGCAAAUCACCAUGGCACAUGUAUACCUAUAUAACAAACCUGCAGGUUCUGCAUAUGUAUCUCAGAACUUAAAGUAUAAUAAAAAAAUAAAAGAAAAGCUCUACAUGACAGCUUAAGGGGAUUAGAAUUUACCAGAGCCAAUGGGGAGCCAGAAGGUUUUUUCAAACAAGUAAGUGAGAAAUUUGAGGUAGGAGGGGGCUUUCUGUUGUUAUUGAUACUAAUUUGUGAUUUAGUAAAUAUUUUGGUUAAUUUACUGUUAACCAUCAUUGUCUCUCUUUUCUCUAACAGAAAAAUAGACCGCUAGCCUUGUAAGACGGUAGUUUUCAUUGAUGUGUGAAAGAUUUUUUUCCUAAGUUCAGCUAGGUUUUAUUAGUCAAGAUAGCUGUCAUUUUUUUCCCUUAACAAUGUCUCUUUAUGUAAAUUUAUUCUCCAUUUUGAUUGCUACUAUUCUAUUUCAGGCCCUUAUCACCUCACAUCCAAAUAGCUGCAGAAAGAGAGAGAAGAAGAAAGGAAGUAAAAAAUGAAGGAAGGGAGGAGUAGGACUAUGUUCAGACACCCUCCCUAGGUCAAUUAAAUCAGAAUUUUGGAGAAAUGGUCAAGGCAUUCAAAAUUUUUCUUUGUGCCACCAGGGUUGAGAGCCAUUGCCUUUUUGGUCCCUUUUAAUUAGAUUAAUUUUACCUCUAAACCUUAACACCAAAACUCAAUUAACCUUUUUAAGACAUAAUUUUCAGUGCAUGUUUUACUGCUAAAUUUCCUCAGCCAGAGACCGUAGAUAAUAUACCAUUUUUUAAAUUUCACGAGAGAGAUAGCUCUAUUGACAAAGCUGUAUGAAUUUAAUAUAGUUCCAAGGCUGGUACUUUCCUGACUUGGCUCAUUCUCUUACAAAUCUAAGCAUGUUGUAGAGAGUAGGCUUCUCCUGCCUCUGUUGUCUACAGUGAAUAUUUAUGGAGAUAAACUUCCAAACUUUUCUUUGAUUCUUCUUCUGACUUUCGAUUUUCCCUCAUGUCAACCUAUGUGCUUUUCUAUCUGGCCUUUCUCCUUCAGACUGACUGAAUGACAUUUAAUCACAUCUUUCUCUUUUCUGCGAGGUCUCCACAGAUUGAUGGCUACAUAACCAUAGCCCUAAUUUUGCAGGGCUACACAAACACCCUCAUCUAUAUCCUGCUCUUAUAGACAACCCAAAAGCAAGGGUACUUGAAAACAGUCAUUAAAGAUUGCAGGCAUGGAGCUAGGGACAAGGCACAAAAUGGCAAAUGAAGCAUCAUUUCAUUUAUAUAUUAACAUGAGUGGGUCUAAAAUGUAGCUUCUUUGUAAUAUGUGAGAUUGUGAUCUCAUCUUCCAUGACUGCGUGCCUUGAUUCUAACAACAUAUAUCAUCUUCCAAUACCUGCACUCAUUUUUAAGAAAACAAGUUUUAUUUUAUCCCAGUGGCGUACUAGCUAGUAAACUCUGAAGUCAUUUUCUUCUACUCUAUGAUUAAGCACCGAAGUGUCUGGAUGAAGUGGAACCCUUCAACUUUGCUGGCAUUCUUAGAUGGAAGCUUUACACAUUUAAAACACUGAGCUUCUCAGUCCACUGAUUGGUGCUGCUUGGAUCACCAGUCCUUGGCGAGAUCCAGUCCUAUUUCCUAACACUGGGCAUUAUGUUUUUUCUGCAUCCUAUCCUUCUAUUUAGAUUGGGCAUCCUUUAAACUGGGAUCUUGCUAUGUUCCUUGUUACUUGUUAUUCUUCAACUCUCUGUUGUGGAGGAGCUGACAAUUGUGCCUUUUAUUAUUAUUUUAAUUCUGUAAUAAGCCCAAUGAUAUAAAUACAUUCUCCAAUUCUGUGGUUUGCUUUUUCACUCUGUUGAUGAUGUCACUGAUUUUUCCCUAGUUCUUUGAAUAGCUAGCAUUUGUAAAUCUUGUGGGUCUCAUUUUAGACAUAAAGUUCUCAGAAGAACCUUCUUAGAUUACUUUGUUUAGGACUGUGUCAAUGAAGCAUUUUAAGCAAAGGCACAAUAUGAUGAGAUUUACAUUUUGAGAGGAUCAUUCAUGCUUUUGUCUUAAUGAAAGAUACAGGAGAAAGGUUAGCAUUUUAUUGAACAAUUCUGAAGAUAUCUUGGUUGAUUAUGGCUUAAGAUCAUGGCAGCAGAGGUAAAAAGAAGUCCAUGGAUCCUAGAUAUAUUUAAUAAAGAAAUUUGAGAGUUGAUGCAUUAAAUGUAAGAGAUUGAGAGAGGGUGGUUCUAUGCUUGCCCCAUGGAUUUCUAGUUUCAGUAAGCAUCUGGAUAGAUAAUACAAUACAAUGCAAUACAAUACAAUCGCUUGUAUGACUAGGACUGAGUACACAGUAGGAUCUCAGCUCACUGCAACCUCCACCUCCUGGGUUCAAGCGAUUCUCCUGGCUCAGCCUCUGGAGGAUCUGGGAUUACAAGGCAUGCACCACCAUGCCCAGCUAAUUUUUUGUAUUUUUAGUAGAGACAGGGUUUUACCACGUUGGCCAGGCUGGUCUCGAACUCCUGACUUCGUGAUCCACCCACCUUGGUCUCCCAAAGUGCUGGGAUUACAGGCAUAAGCCACGAAGCCCAGUCAACAAUUAAAUAAUCAAGUCAUUAUUGUGAAUUUGGAUCUAAAUGACCUGGCAGAAACCAUGGAGAUGAUCUUGGAUUUAAAGAGGAAAAACUCAAAGCAAUGUAUUCUGAUCAAGAAAUGGCAGGAAAUGGCAGCUACCUGAUAUGGAACAAUCAACAACUGAAGGUUUAUUUUGAAUGAGAGGUGUUGUCCAACUGCGAGACGGAGUGAUUGAAGCUGAGAAUAAAUGGAAACACAAUCAAUAGUCACUCCAGUGAGGUAGGAAAGAAAGCCAUUCCGAAGUGGCAGAGAAGCUGCUUUUUCCUCCUGCAUGCUGCCUGCUAGUGUGGAUCUUGGCAUAACAGACACUACUUGGCAAAAGAUCCAUCCUUCCUUUUCCUAUACUUUGCUCAGCGGCCUGGAAGAUUGACCUCAAAAGCAAAAUCACCUGGAUUUCCUUGCCAUUUGGCUUUCAAAUGUGCUCAGCCAAUGACAGGCUGGAAAGAAAUUGACAGCUGGGAAAAGAGGAAGAUUUGUGUACAAGAUCCCUUCCACUCCCAUCUCAUUACCUGCCAUGGUCCUAGCAGUGGCUGUUCUUAUUAUGGCCACAACUACUCUUGGACAGGCCAACAUCCACAACUCCAUCCUUCAACUAGGCUUCAUUAACACUGUCCCUCACCCUUAUCUCUUUCUGGGUAGGGGUGAUAAAGGUUUCCUGACAUCAGAGUUCCUGAGUGCCUCAUAUAUUCUUGUUGGUCCCUGAACCUUGCCCCAACAUCAAUAAAAAGUUCCUUCAUUAAAUAAUUUUCAGUUGAAUCUUUCGUGCUGGGAUCUGUCCAAUUCGACUUUAGCAUACUUUUCGUGCCAAGAAAGUGAUAGUUUCUUGCCAGGAUUUGGCUCAAAGGGCUCACAGUGGGUGAGGGGAUGAGAUUACUUAUUAAGUGAUAAAAUGGAGAUCACAGUGGUUAACCUGCCUAAGAUCACAUGGUUGGUCAACUCAUGGUCGAUUCAUUAAAAUAUUAAAACAUAGAAUCAGUCAGGC
This 19232-nucleotide long non-coding RNA is filed under the name Homo sapiens (human). Its description in RNAcentral is "non-protein coding lnc-TMEM178A-6:5". The record is from RNAcentral. Lineage: Eukaryota; Metazoa; Chordata; Mammalia; Primates; Hominidae.